UACGGAAGGCAGCAGUGGGGAAUAUUGCACAAUGGGCGAAAGCCUGAUGCAGCUAUGCCGCGUGUAUGAAGAAGGCCUUAGGGUUGUAAAGUACUUUCAUCGGGGAGGAAAAACAAAACUAAUAAUUUUAUUUCUUGACGUUACCCGAAAAAGAAGCACCGGCUAACUCCGUGCCAGCAGCCGCGGUAAUACGGAGGGUGCUAGCGUUAAUCAGAAUUACUGGGCGUAAAGAGCACGUAGGUGGUUUUUUUAAAGUCAGAUGUGAAAUCCCUGGGCUUAACCUGGAACUGCAUUUUGAAACUGAAAUACUAGAGUAUCGUAGAGGGAGGUAGAAUUCUAGGUGUAGCGGUGAAAUGCGUAGAUAUCUGGAGGAAUACCUGUGGCGAAAGCGGCCUCCUAAACGAAUACUGACACUGAGGUGCGAAAGCGUGGGGAGCAAACAGGAUUAGAUACC
This 454-nucleotide ribosomal RNA is filed under the name uncultured bacterium. RNAcentral's name for it is "bacterial SSU rRNA". It matches the Rfam family "Bacterial small subunit ribosomal RNA", at positions 340 to 786 of the family's 1533-position model. The record is from RNAcentral.